RNAcentral lists this unclassified non-coding RNA (1865 nucleotides) under Dimorphilus gyrociliatus. Its description in RNAcentral is "deacetylase sirtuin-type domain-containing protein". Lineage: Eukaryota; Metazoa; Annelida; Polychaeta; Dinophilidae. The record is from RNAcentral.
CCUUUUCGAAAAAUCACAUGGUCGGGUGAAAUUAUUGAACACUUUGCAGAGAAAAAUUGCUUCUUUUCGUCGAGAAAUAUCCGCAUUUUUGUCAAAAACCAACUCAGUAAGUAUUAUUAAUAUAUAAGCGAGCUAUUAUAUGCACUUAGUGUAUAAAAAAAGUAUUUAAUUCAUACUUUGUCGAGGAAUGGCAGAUUAUACCUCGCAAUUACAUUCGCUAAUUUCCUCUCAUAUCCCAUGCUCUAGGCUCCCAAACACCACUAACAAUAUACACCUACUAAUAAAAUAUUAACAAAUAUUAAUCUUUUUCAACUAAUUAUAAAGUUUGCAAAAACCUAUCUCUAACCGCUUAUUAGUACAACCCGAUAUCGAUAUCGAUAUCGAUAUUUCCAAUAAGGUGCUGACCUCUGUGAAAAUGCAAGUUUUCGCUGCUAAGCGUAACAAAUAUGGAGGAGGGUUGAUAACUCGCAAAAUUAAUCAACGUUCAAAAACUUUAGCAUUUAUUCAAACCUUAAUUGGUAAAAAUGGAUUCUGUCACUAAUAUUUAUUAAUAUUACUAUCUACACAGUUUGUUCACAUCACUCCAACAGUAUUUUUGACCACAAAGUUAUGCCUAGAAUAACAACAAAAAUUCGUGCUAAGUCUUCCGAAACCCUCCAAAAUGAUAGAUGGGCAACUUUAAGAUCCGCCUCUAAAGGAAAGAGUGCCGCUUUAGACGGCUUUGGCCGUUUAGAUGUUGGUAGUUCCAAACCGAGAACCGUAAAGUGUAACACUUUUGAAGAUAUUGCCAAUCUAAUUGCACGUGGUCAAGCUACAAAUAUCGUCGUGGUUAUUGGAGCGGGCGUCAGUACGGCUUCUGGAAUUCCUGAUUUUAGAUCACCUAAGACAGGACUUUAUUAUAAUUUGCAAAAAUUCAACAUCCCCUAUCCGGAAGCUAUAUUCGACAUGGACUAUUUUCGUACAAAUCCUAGACCUUUCUACACAUUAGCUAAAGAUCUUUAUCCGUCUGUUAAGCAUAAACCAAAUAGUGUUCAUUAUUUUAUUCGUUUGCUGCAUGAGAAACAUUUAUUGCAUCGUGUUUAUACACAAAAUAUCGAUGGCUUAGAAAAAUUAAGUGGAAUACCAAAUAGUAAACUCGUCGAAGCUCACGGUACAUUUGAGACAGCUAGCUGUACUCGUUGUAGAUCUCCCCAAUCUCCCGGAGAUGUCAAGGACAGUAUAUUUAGCAAUAAGAUUCCCAGAUGUUCCAAUCGCCGAUGCAACGGAUUAGUAAAGCCGGAUGUAGUGUUUUUUGGAGAGGACCUAACAAGCAAAUUCUAUUCGUAUGUGUCGGAUAUGAAAUUCGCAGAUUUGGUUCUUAUCAUGGGAACUUCGCUCCAGGUUGAACCAUUCUCGAAUAUUAUUGAUCGUGCCAAGUUUUUCGUGCCUAGAUGUCUUUUUAAUAAGAAAGCUGUUGGACCAUUUGCUAAAAAAGGACGCUUGAAUGAUGUAUUUGUUGGUGGUGACUUAAUUGAUACGGUUGCGCAGUUGGCUGCGAAACUUGAUUGGACAGACGAACUAAGCCGAAAUACGAUCCAGUGGGAAAGUGAAUUUGAAGACCGAUUACAGCAGUACGGAUUUAUGAAACGUAUUGCAGUUCGUCCGCGUCCGCCUAGAAGUAUACGUAGACUUCCUAAACCUCCACCUGAUACUCCAGAAACAACCACUUCGUCUGAAGCGGAAACCGAAAGCCAAAGUUCAAACUCUUCCGGAAGCACUCCGGUGUUGAGAAGUUCAAAACGGAGACAUGAUGUAAUAAUUAAAAAUAUUAUUGAUAAAUUUGAAAAAACGUCAAUAAAAUAGAUUAUAUGUGAAUAAAUUAUUAC